Molecule: ribosomal RNA, 314 nt
Filed under: uncultured bacterium
Lineage: Bacteria
Description: bacterial SSU rRNA
Rfam family: Bacterial small subunit ribosomal RNA
Source: RNAcentral
GAUAAACGCUGGCGGCGCACAUAAGACAUGCAAGUCGAACGGACUUAACUCAUUCUUUUAGAUUGAGAGCGGUUAGUGGCGGACUGGUGAGUAACACGUAAGCAACCUGCCUAUUAGAGGGGGAUAACGGCUGGAAACGGUCGCUAAUACCGCAUGAAAUGUUCGGAUGGCAUCGUCUGAACAUCAAAGAUUUAUCGCUGAAAGAUGGGCUCGCGUCUGAUUAGAUAGUUGGUGAGGUAACGGCUCACCAAGUCGACGAUCAGUAGCCGGACUGAGAGGUUGAACGGCCACAUUGGGACUGAGAUACGGCCCAG